GCGAAUGCUGACAUAAGUAACGAUAAAGCGGGUGAAAAGCCCGCUCGCCGGAAGACCAAGGGUUCCUGUCCAACGUUAAUCGGGGCAGGGUGAGUCGACCCCUAAGGCGAGGCCGAAAGGCGUAGUCGAUGGGAAACAGGUUAAUAUUCCUGUACUUGGUGUUACUGCGAAGGGGGGACGGAGAAGGCUAUGUUGGCCGGGCGACGGUUGUCCCGGUUUAAGCGUGUAGGCUGGUUUUCCAGGCAAAUCCGGAAAACCAAGGCUGAGGCGUGAUGACGAGGCACUACGGUGCUGAAGCGACAAAUGCCCUGCUUCCAGGAAAAGCCUCUAAGCAUCAGGUAACAUCAAAUCGUACCCCAAACCGACACAGGUGGUCAGGUAGAGAAUACCAAGGCGCUUGAGAGAACUCGGGUGAAGGAACUAGGCAAAAUGGUGCCGUAACUUCGGGAGAAGGCACGCUGAUAUGUAGGUGAAGCGACUUGCUCGUGGAGCUGAAAUCAGUCGAAGAUACCAGCUGGCUGCAACUGUUUAUUAAAAACACAGCACUGUGCAAACACGAAAGUGGACGUAUACGGUGUGACGCCUGCCCGGUGCCGGAAGGUUAAUUGAUGGGGUUAGCGGCAACGCGAAGCUCUUGAUCGAAGCCCCGGUAAACGGCGGCCGUAACUAUAACGGUCCUAAGGUAGCGAAAUUCCUUGUCGGGUAAGUUCCGACCUGCACGAAUGGCGUAAUGAUGGCCAGGCUGUCUCCACCCGAGACUCAGUGAAAUUGAACUCGCUGUGAAGAUGCAGUGUACCCGCGGCAAGACGGAAAGACCCCGUGAACCUUUACUAUAGCUUGACACUGAACAUUGAGCCUUGAUGUGUAGGAUAGGUGGGAGGCUUUGAAGUGUGGACGCCAGUCUGCAUGGAGCCGACCUUGAAAUACCACCCUUUAAUGUUUGAUGUUCUAACGUUGGCCCCUAAUCGGGGUUGCGGACAGUGUCUGGUGGGUAGUUUGACUGGGGCGGUCUCCUCCUAAAGAGUAACGGAGGAGCACGAAGGUUGGCUAAUCCUGGUCGGACAUCAGGAGGUUAGUGCAAUGGCAUAAGCCAGCUUGACUGCGAGCGUGACGGCGCGAGCAGGUGCGAAAGCAGGUCAUAGUGAUCCGGUGGUUCUGAAUGGAAGGGCCAUCGCUCAACGGAUAAAAGGUACUCCGGGGAUAACAGGCUGAUACCGCCCAAGAGUUCAUAUCGACGGCGGUGUUUGGCACCUCGAUGUCGGCUCAUCACAUCCUGGGGCUGAAGUAGGUCCCAAGGGUAUGGCUGUUCGCCAUUUAAAGUGGUACGCGAGCUGGGUUUAGAACGUCGUGAGACAGUUCGGUCCCUAUCUGCCGUGGGCGCUGGAGAACUGAGGGGGGCUGCUCCUAGUACGAGAGGACCGGAGUGGACGCAUCACUGGUGUUCGGGUUGUCAUGCCAAUGGCACUGCCCGGUAGCUAAAUGCGGAAGAGAUAAGUGCUGAAAGCAUCUAAGCACGAAACUUGCCCCGAGAUGAGUUCUCCCUGAGACUUAGAGUCUCCUGAAGGAACGUUGAAGACGACGACGUUGAUAGGCCGGGUGUGUAAGCGCAGCGAUGCGUUGAGCUAACCGGUACUAAUGAACCGUGAGGCUUAACCUUA
Molecule: ribosomal RNA, 1658 nt
Filed under: Escherichia coli
Lineage: Bacteria; Pseudomonadati; Pseudomonadota; Gammaproteobacteria; Enterobacterales; Enterobacteriaceae
Description: partial 23S ribosomal RNA
Rfam family: Bacterial large subunit ribosomal RNA
Source: RNAcentral